This 520-nucleotide ribosomal RNA is filed under the name uncultured bacterium. Its description in RNAcentral is "bacterial SSU rRNA". It matches the Rfam family "Bacterial small subunit ribosomal RNA", at positions 355 to 893 of the family's 1533-position model. The record is from RNAcentral.
UGGGGAAUAUUGGACAAUGGGCGCAAGCCUGAUCCAGCCAUGCCGCGUGAGUGAUGACGGCCUUAGGGUUGUAAAGCUCUUUCGCCAGGGACGAUAAUGACGGUACCUGGAUAAGAAGCCCCGGCUAACUUCGUGCCAGCAGCCGCGGUAAUACGAAGGGGGCUAGCGUUGUUCGGAAUUACUGGGCGUAAAGCGCGUGUAGGCGGGUCUUUAAGUCAGGGGUGAAAUGCCAAGGCUCAACCUUGGAACUGCCUUUGAUACUGGAGAUCUUGAGUCCGGGAGAGGUGAGUGGAAUUGCGAGUGUAGAGGUGAAAUUCGUGGAUAUUCGCAAGAACACCAGUGGCGAAGGCGGCUCACUGGCCCGGAACUGACGCUGAGACGCGAAAGCGUGGGGAGCAAACAGGAUUAGAUACCCUGGUAGUCCACGCUGUAAACGAUGGAUGCUAGCCGUUGGGGAGCUUGCUCUUCAGUGGCGCAGCUAACGCUUUAAGCAUCCCGCCUGGGGAGUACGGUCGCAAGA